RNAcentral lists this ribosomal RNA (253 nucleotides) under uncultured bacterium. Its description in RNAcentral is "partial 16S ribosomal RNA". It matches the Rfam family "Bacterial small subunit ribosomal RNA", at positions 524 to 776 of the family's 1533-position model. The record is from RNAcentral.
UACGUAGGGGGCAAGCGUUAUCCGGAAUUACUGGGUGUAAAGGGUGAGUAGGCGGCAUGGUAAGCCAGAUGUGAAAGUCUUGGGCUUAACCCGAGGAUUGCAUUUGGAACUAUCAAGCUAGAGUACAGGAGAGGAAAGCGGAAUUCCUAGUGUAGCGGUGAAAUGCGUAGAUAUUAGGAAGAACACCAGUGGCGGAGGCGGCUUUCUGGACUGAAACUGACGCUGAGGCACGAAAGCGUGGGGAGCGAACAGG